Molecule: ribosomal RNA, 368 nt
Filed under: Harmonia axyridis
Lineage: Eukaryota; Metazoa; Arthropoda; Insecta; Coleoptera; Coccinellidae
Description: partial 12S ribosomal RNA
Source: RNAcentral
UUUUAAACUAGGAUUAGAUACCCUAUUAUUAAUUAAGUAAAUUAUAAAGUUAAGUGAUUAAUAGUUAAGUUCUUUAAAGCUAAAUGAUUUGGCGGUAUUUUUACUUUUCAGAGGAACCUGUUCUAUAAACGAUAAUCCACGAUUAAAAUUACUUUAGUUAGAAACUUUUAUAUCGUCGUUGUUAAAUAUUUUUUUAGAAAUUAAUAUUUAGAUAUUUUUUAAAAAUUUAAAUCAGAUCAAGGUGAAGUUUAUAUUAAAGUAGAAAUGGGUUACAUUAAAUUAUAUUUAUGGAUUUAUAUAUUUUAAAAGUUUUAUGAAAUUGGAUUUGAUUGUAAUUAAAUAUUUUUAUUUUAAUGACUAGACUAACG